Osmia bicornis bicornis is the source of this 135-nucleotide small nucleolar RNA. NCBI's taxonomy places the organism in Eukaryota, Metazoa, Arthropoda, Insecta, Hymenoptera, Megachilidae. The record is from RefSeq and is a predicted model, not a curated record.
AAUGGCCAUUAUCGAAGCUAUAAUAUAUUCUCAAUACAUAUUGUGGUUCAAAGUUGUCCUAGAUAAAAUUCUUUAAUGAUGGUCACUGAUUGCCUUUGCAUAGGCUUCUCAGUAUUACCUAUUAAGGAGACAAAA